RNAcentral lists this long non-coding RNA (1233 nucleotides) under Homo sapiens (human). Its description in RNAcentral is "non-protein coding lnc-CYLD-13:1". The record is from RNAcentral. Lineage: Eukaryota; Metazoa; Chordata; Mammalia; Primates; Hominidae.
AUGUGAUAGGCACUCAAGAAACAAUAGCUGCUGUGAUGAGGAUGAUGAUGGUGAUGAUGAUUAUUUUAUGAAGUCCUUUCACAUCUCAUUUAGUGUUCUCAGGAACACAAUGACAUGGGUAAUAAUUGUGCAGUGUUUGUUUAUCUCUGGAUCCUGGAUAUACCAGGCUUGUUCCCACCUCCACACCUUUGCUGGGAGCAAUGGUUUUCAGAUGGGAGCAACUUCCAUCCCCAGGGACAUUUCGCAAUAUCUGAAGACAUUUUGGGUUGUCAUGACUGAGGGGUGCUACUGGCACCUAGUGGGUGGAGACCAGGGAGGCUGCUGAACACCCUACACUGCACAGGACAGCCCCCCCUCCAAAGCAAAGAAUUAGGCCACAAAUGUUAACAGUGCCGAGAGUGAGAAACCCUGGCUUAGAUGGUUCUUCCUAUAGAGAUUACUUCCCCAAUUCUACCGUGGAAUAUUCUAUAAGCUUGCUAAACUGACUUUGGAGUGAACACGUGUUAUGAUGGACCUGCCAUUUGGCUGGGCCAAGGCAGGAAAAAGAGAUCUUGUCUGUUAAACAACAAGAGAACUUAGCAGGCUCUAUCUUUCUCCAAGACUAUAUAUCAUUGGGGGAGCUCCCCAAAAAGUUUUGAAGGUGGGGGACUGGAUUCCAGAUAGUCCAAAUUGACCAAUCACCACCACAGUAACAUUAAUGUCCCUAUUUACAGAUUAAUACACUGAUGCUCAGAAGAGUUGGGUAAAUUGCUCAAUUUCAUACCAGCAGCAAGUGGCAGAGCUGAGAUUUUCACUCAAAAUUGUUGCUCUUUUUUUUUUUUUUUUUUUUUCCACAGAGUCCCUGGAAAAGAAGUCCUGGGAGGACAGUCCCAUAGGCUGCAUCAUAAUCAUCUAGUGCCAUUGAGGGGAGCAGGUGGCAGGAGAAAAAGAAGGGAAUUCCCCUUGUGAUUCUGUAGACUUGGCUGGCAGUUCUGACAGUGAUGCAGCUCUGUGACUGCUCCUGCAGAGCAGGGCUACCCCAUAGGCAGUGUGCUGAGAGCUGCAGCUCAGGGCAGGUGUGCAGUCAUAGUUAUAUCUACUUUUAAUUGCAUGCAGAUUAAGAGGUGUUUUUUUGCGGACAUUUCUAGGAAAAGGGUAGUAACUUCUGCACCAUCAGGUCAUUUCUAUGGAGAGGAGUGAUAACUCCUGGGUGUUGCCACGCAAAGGUAAACUGAUGUGGCACACUGGUGGGCA